RNAcentral lists this ribosomal RNA (500 nucleotides) under uncultured bacterium. Its description in RNAcentral is "partial 16S ribosomal RNA". It matches the Rfam family "Bacterial small subunit ribosomal RNA", at positions 29 to 523 of the family's 1533-position model. The record is from RNAcentral.
AUUGAGCGCUGGCGGCAUGCCUUACACAUGCAAGUCGAACGGCAGCACGGGAGCAAUCCUGGUGGCGAGUGGCGAACGGGUGAGUAAAGUAUCGGAACGUGCCCAGUCGUGGGGGAUAACGUAGCGAAAGUUACGCUAAUACCGCAUACGAUCUAUGGAUGAAAGCGGGGGAUCGCAAGACCUCGCGCGAUGGGAGCGGCCGAUACCAGAUUAGGUAGUUGGUGGGGUAAAGGCCCACCAAGCCGACGAUCUGUAGCUGGUCUGAGAGGACGACCAGCCACACUGGGACUGAGACACGGCCCAGACUCCUACGGGAGGCAGCAGUGGGGAAUUUUGGACAAUGGGCGAAAGCCUGAUCCAGCCAUGCCGCGUGCAGGAUGAAGGCCUUCGGGUUGUAAACUGCUUUUGUACGGAACGAAAAGGACUGCCCUAAUACGGUGGUCCCAUGACGGUACCGUAAGAAUAAGCACCGGCUAACUACGUGCCAGCAGCCGCCGUAA